This 491-nucleotide ribosomal RNA is filed under the name uncultured bacterium. RNAcentral describes it as "partial 16S ribosomal RNA". It matches the Rfam family "Bacterial small subunit ribosomal RNA", at positions 29 to 506 of the family's 1533-position model. The record is from RNAcentral.
AGUGAACGCUGGCGGUAGGCCUAACACAUGCAAGUCGAACGGCAGCACAGUAAGAGCUUGCUCUUACGGGUGGCGAGUGGCGGACGGGUGAGGAAUACAUCGGAAUCUACUUUUUCGUGGGGGAUAACGUAGGGAAACUUACGCUAAUACCGCAUACGACCUACGGGUGAAAGCAGGGGAUCUUCGGACCUUGCGCGAUUGAAUGAGCCGAUGCCGGAUUAGCUAGUUGGCGGGGUAAAGGCCCACCAAGGCGACGAUCCGUAGCUGGUCUGAGAGGAUGAUCAGCCACACUGGAACUGAGACACGGUCCAGACUCCUACGGGAGGCAGCAGUGGGGAAUAUUGGACAAUGGGCGCAAGCCUGAUCCAGCCAUACCGCGUGGGUGAAGAAGGCCUUCGGGUUGUAAAGCCCUUUUGUUGGGAAAGAAAAGCAGCAGGUUAAUACCCCGCUGUUCUGACGGUACCCAAAGAAUAAGCACCGGCUAACUGCGU